RNAcentral lists this ribosomal RNA (253 nucleotides) under uncultured bacterium. RNAcentral describes it as "partial 16S ribosomal RNA". It matches the Rfam family "Bacterial small subunit ribosomal RNA", at positions 524 to 776 of the family's 1533-position model. The record is from RNAcentral.
UACGUAGGGCGCAAGCGUUGUCCGGAAUUAUUGGGCGUAAAGAGCUCGUAGGCGGUCUGUUACGUCCGCUGUGAAAACCCAGGGCUUAACCCUGGGCUUGCAGUGGAUACGGGUAGACUAGAGGCAGGUAGGGGAGAAUGGAAUUCCCGGUGUAGCGGUGAAAUGCGCAGAUAUCGGGAGGAACACCGGUGGCGAAGGCGGCUCUCUGGGCCUUUCCUGACGCUGAGACGCGAAAGCGUGGGGAGCGAACCGG